AGCUCCAAUAGCGUAUAUUAAAGUUGUUGCAGUUAAAAAGCUCGUAGUUGGAUCUCGGGUCCGGACUGGCGGUCCCGUUCACGCGGGUACUGCUUGUUCCGACCCCCCUGCCGGUGCGCCCUCGGUGCUCUUCACUGAGUGCCCCGGGUUGCCGGCACGUUUACUUUGAAAAAAUUAGAGUGUUCAAAGCAGGCGUCCUCGCCUGGAUAUUCAUGCAUGGAAUAAUGGAAUAGGACCCCGGUUCUAUUUUGUUGGUUUUCGGAACCAGGGGUAAUGAUUAAGAGGGACGGCCGGGGGCAUUGGUAUUACGGUGUUAGAGGUGAAAUUCUUGGAUCGCCGUAAGACUGUCGACAGCGAAAGCAUUUGCCAAGAAUGUUUUCA
RNAcentral lists this ribosomal RNA (381 nucleotides) under uncultured eukaryote. RNAcentral describes it as "SSU rRNA". It matches the Rfam family "Eukaryotic small subunit ribosomal RNA", at positions 587 to 972 of the family's 1831-position model. The record is from RNAcentral.